UGAAGUCAGAUGCUUAACCUAUUGAGCCAUCCAGGUGCCCCUACAAAUGGUUGUGUUCUGAGGGAGAUAUAGUGGGGACCGACUUGAAUCUCUGGUACCAACAUUCUUGUCUACAUUGUUGUUGCCUCUUACACCUGCCUGGAUAGAGAUCAGGAGACUGAGGCACCUAAAGAUCAAUGGUACCAGAAUUCAAAAUCAUAGCAAAGCCUACUGCAGGGCAUGACGAUGAAUGGAAGAUGGAAAGAACAAGAGAAAGGGAGGCAGAGACACUCAAGAGUCUAAAGUAGGAAAUUGAGUAACAGAGAAGCAACAAAUGGAAAUAUAUGGAACAACAGUUUACAAGACAAUGGGCAUCAGAGAAUGACCCCUGAAGAUGGGAAACAAAUGAGAAAACAGGGGCCUCAGUCCUACAUCUGGAAGGAACUGAAUUAUACCAACCCUCUAAAAGAGCGUGGAAGAGGAUCUUGAACUUCAGAUGAAACAGAAGCCCAGAUGACACCUCAAUUUCAACCAUAUGAGACCCUAAGCACAGAACUCAGCCAUGAUAUGCCAGACUCCUGACCCAUGGAAACUGUGGGAUAAUAAAUUUGUAUUAUUUUGAGCUGUUAA
Long non-coding RNA from Herpailurus yagouaroundi (jaguarundi), 609 nucleotides. RefSeq lists it as uncharacterized. Lineage: Eukaryota; Metazoa; Chordata; Mammalia; Carnivora; Felidae. The transcript has 4 exons. The record is from RefSeq and is a predicted model, not a curated record.